This 497-nucleotide ribosomal RNA is filed under the name uncultured bacterium. RNAcentral describes it as "partial 16S ribosomal RNA". It matches the Rfam family "Bacterial small subunit ribosomal RNA", at positions 28 to 507 of the family's 1533-position model. The record is from RNAcentral.
GAUGAACGCUGGCGGCGUGCCUAAUACAUGCAAGUCGAGCGAACGGACGAGAAGCUUGCUUCUCUGAUGUUAGCGGCGGACGGGUGAGUAACACGUGGAUAACCUACCUAUAAGACUGGGAUAACUUCGGGAAACCGGAGCUAAUACCGGAUAAUAUUUUGAACCGCAUGGUUCAAAAGUGAAAGACGGUCUUGCUGUCACUUAUAGAUGGAUCCGCGCUGCAUUAGCUAGUUGGUAAGGUAACGGCUUACCAAGGCAACGAUGCAUAGCCGACCUGAGAGGGUGAUCGGCCACACUGGAACUGAGACACGGUCCAGACUCCUACGGGAGGCAGCAGUAGGGAAUCUUCCGCAAUGGGCGAAAGCCUGACGGAGCAACGCCGCGUGAGUGAUGAAGGUCUUCGGAUCGUAAAACUCUGUUAUUAGGGAAGAAGAUAUGUGUAAGUAACUGUGCACAUCUUGACGGUACCUAAUCAGAAAGCCACGGCUAACUACGUG